AACCCCACGGUGUCGUAACACCCAAACCACCUCCCACUCCUCUCUCCCCUACCCCUCGCCCCAUCGCCCCGCCGCCGCCGCCGCCGCCACCGGCGACGGCGACCCCGAUGGGCGCCUCCGCCUCCGUCCUAUCUCUUCCCGUGGCCGUCUCCUUCCCUGGCGCGGCCACCGCUAUCGCGGGCGCCGCCGGCUGCUUCGCGCUCGGCUACUUCCUCGCCCUCGCCCGCCUCCCCAUCCACGCCGCCGCCGCCCCCGACUCCGGCGACGACGAUUCCGAGGACGACUCGGACGAAGAUGAUGACGAAAAUUCCGGCCGCGCCCGGCCGGCGAAGCGAGCCGCCGGGCGGAAGCGGACCGGGCUCAGGCUGCUGUUCUGGUCCCGGAACGUGGUGACCAAGUCCGACUCCGCCAGGGAAGCCGAGAGGGCGCAGGUCCAGACCGCCGCCGCCCCCCUGGAGAUCGAGAACCUCGCCAAGAUAAUAGAGGAUUUCAAGAUGGUGCUUGUGGUGAGAAACGACCUAAAGAUGGGAAAGGGGAAAAUCGCUGCGCAAUGCAGGGACCAGGGCAGGAAUUAAAAAGCAAACAAAAGCAGGGGCCAUGAGUACAUCUCAACUUUUACUGUAUUUCUUGUUGACAACUAGUGCAGUACUAAAGAUUGGUCCAUCAGAAAUCAACAUCAAUGUUAACUGAAUUUUUUCAAAUUACAGAGCAAGCAAGCAAGCAAUGUACAUAGAUCAGUUAUGUUUUAAAUAACAGAGCAAGCAAGCAAGGCACUGGAGAUGAACAAAUUACAGAACCCUGUACUUGUUCUCACCAGCAGCAGCACGAGUAGGGGACCUCAAGCGGCAGCACACGAGAAGGGGAUCUCCGGGCGGCAGCACGAGCAGGGGAGGAGCAGCAAGUUGCCGAGAAGCAGCAGAAGGGGCUCCAGCUUGAGGUCCAGGAUCGCAAAAGAGCUUGAGGAUGAGCUUGAGGGAGCUCGUGGUCCAGGCGCGGCGGGAGCUCGUGGUCCAGGCGCUCGAGACCCAGGCGCGCGCGGGUCCUGGCCGGCGGCGGCGCAGGCCCUGCGAGGAAGGAGGGGAUAUCGUCGACGCAGGUCCUGGGCGGCGGAGGAGCACGUCUUGUGCGGUGACGGAGCAAGUAGGGCGGCGCAGGUCCUUGGCGGCAGAGGAGCAAGCAGGGCGGCGCGGGUCCUGGGCCGCGGAGGAGCACGUCCUGUGCGGCAACGGAGCAAGCAGGGCGGCGCGGGUCCUGGGUCGCGGAGGAGCACGUCCAGUGCGGCGGCGGAGCAAGCAAUUGGGCGGCGCAGGUCUUGGGCUGACGACUGGCCCUGGCGACGCGCGCCGGCGACGGGCGGAGGAAGAAGGAAGAAGACGCGACCUAUAUGGUGACCUGUUUGUAACAAAUUUGAAGUUAUAAGGGUGUUUUUGAAAAAUUGACAUUACAUUA
Non-coding RNA from Triticum urartu, 1449 nucleotides. Lineage: Eukaryota; Viridiplantae; Streptophyta; Magnoliopsida; Poales; Poaceae. The record is from RefSeq and is a predicted model, not a curated record.